CCUACGGGAGGCAGCAGUGGGGAAUUUUGGACAAUGGGCGCAAGCCUGAUCCAGCCAUGCCGCGUGCGGGAAGAAGGCCUUCGGGUUGUAAACCGCUUUUGUCAGGGAAGAGAAGGUUCUGGAUAAUACCUGGGACUCAUGACGGUACCUGAAGAAUAAGCACCGGCUAACUACGUGCCAGCAGCCGCGGUAAUACGUAGGGUGCAAGCGUUAAUCGGAAUUACUGGGCGUAAAGCGUGCGCAGGCGGUUAUGCAAGACAGAGGUGAAAUCCCCGGGCUCAACCUGGGAACUGCCUUUGUGACUGCAUAGCUAGAGUACGGUAGAGGGGGAUGGAAUUCCGCGUGUAGCAGUGAAAUGCGUAGAUAUGCGGAGGAACACCGAUGGCGAAGGCAAUCCCCUGGACCUGUACUGACGCUCAUGCACGAAAGCGUGGGGAGCAAACAGGAUUAGAUACCCUGGUAGUCCACGCCCUAAACGAUGUCAACUGGUUGUUGGGAGGGUUUCUUCUCAGUACGUAGCUAACGCGUGAAGUUGACGCCUGGGGNGNGCGCGAGUGAGANAAGAGUAGAGNGNGAGAGNGCGAGACGACGACGAGGGAGGAGG
Molecule: ribosomal RNA, 604 nt
Filed under: uncultured bacterium
Lineage: Bacteria
Description: bacterial SSU rRNA
Rfam family: Bacterial small subunit ribosomal RNA (bases 1-540)
Source: RNAcentral